UUGAGCCGGUUGCCUGGAAAGCGGGCACGGCCGGUUCUGAGGGGGCCCCCGGCGCAGCAAUGCGCCGGGGCUACCCGAC
This 79-nucleotide non-coding RNA is filed under the name Parafrankia irregularis. Lineage: Bacteria; Bacillati; Actinomycetota; Actinomycetes; Frankiales; Frankiaceae. The record is from RNAcentral.